GACGAACGCUGGCGGCGCGCCUAACACAUGCAAGUCGAACGAGCGAGAGAGAGCUUGCUUUCUUGAGCGAGUGGCGAACGGGUGAGUAACGCGUGAGGAACCUGCCUCAAAGAGGGGGACAACAGUUGGAAACGACUGCUAAUACCGCAUAAGCCCACGGUGCCGCAUGGCACAGAGGGAAAAGGAGCAAUCCGCUUUGAGAUGGCCUCGCGUCCGAUUAGCUAGUUGGUGAGGUAACGGCCCACCAAGGCGACGAUCGGUAGCCGGACUGAGAGGUUGAACGGCCACAUUGGGAAUGAGACACGGCCCAGACUCCUACGGGAGGCAGGAGUGGGGAAUAUUGCACAAUGGGGGAAACCCUGAUGCAGCGACGCCGCGUGGAGGAAGAAGGUCUUCGGAUUGGAAACUCCUGUUGUUGGGGAAGAUAAUGACGGUACCCAACAAGGAAGUGACGGCUAACUACGUG
RNAcentral lists this ribosomal RNA (466 nucleotides) under uncultured bacterium. RNAcentral's name for it is "partial 16S ribosomal RNA". It matches the Rfam family "Bacterial small subunit ribosomal RNA", at positions 28 to 507 of the family's 1533-position model. The record is from RNAcentral.